Molecule: ribosomal RNA, 900 nt
Filed under: uncultured archaeon
Lineage: Archaea
Description: bacterial SSU rRNA
Rfam family: Archaeal small subunit ribosomal RNA
Source: RNAcentral
GUGGCAGCAGCCGCGGUAAAACCAGCACCUCAAGUGGUCAGGAGGAUUAUUGGGCCUAAAGCAUCCGUAGCCGGCUAUGUUAGUUCUCGGUUAAAUCCAUGUGCUCAACACAUGGGCUGCCGAGAAUACUGUAUAGCUAGGGAGUGGGAGAGGUAGACGGUACUCGGUAGGAAGGGGUAAAAUCCUUUGAUCUAUCGAUGACCACCAGUGGCGGAGGCGGUCUACCAGAACACGUCCGACGGUGAGGGAUGAAAGCUGGGGGAGCAAACCGGAUUAGAUACCCGGGUAGUCCCAGCUGUAAACUAUGCAAACUCAGUGAUGCAUUGGCUUGUGGCCAAUGCAGUGCCGCAGAGAAGUCGUUAAGUUUGCCGCCUGGGAAGUACGUACGCAAGUGUGAAACUUAAAGGAAUUGGCGGGGGAGCACCACAAGGGGUGAAGCCUGCGGUUCAAUUGGAGUCAACGCCAGAAAUCUUACCCGGAGAGACAGCAGAAUGAAGGUCAAGCUGAAGACUUUACCAGACAAGCUGAGAAGUGGUGCAUGGCCGUCGCCAGCUCGUGCCGUGAGAUGUCCUGUUAAGUCAGGUAACGAGCGAGAUCCCUGCCUCUAGUUGCCACCAUUACUCUCAGGAGUAGUGGGGCGAAUUAGCGGGACUGCCGCAGUUAAUGCGGAGGAAGGAGGGGGCCACGGCAGGUCAGUAUGCCCUGAAACUCUGGGGCCACACGCGGGCUGCAAUGGUAGUUACAGUGAGUUCCUAAUCCGAAAGGAGGAGGUAAUCUUCAAACGCUACCACAGUUAUGAUUGAGGGCUGCAACUCGCCCUCAUGAAUAUGGAAUCCCUAGUAACUGCGUGUCAUUACCGCGCGGUGAAUACGUCCCUGCUCCUUGCACACACCGCCCGUC